AUUGAACGCUGGCGGCAGGCCUAACACAUGCAAGUCGAACGAGUGGCGGACGGGUGAGUAAUGUCUGGGAAACUGCCUGAUGGAGGGGGAUAACUACUGGAAACGGUAGCUAAUAACGCAUACCAUCAGAUGUGCCCAGAUGUGCUUAGCUAGUUGGUGGGGUAACGGCUCACCAAGGCGACGAUACCUAGCUGGUCUGAGAGAAUGACCAGCCACACUGGAACUUAGACACGGUCCAGCCUCCUACGUUGGGCAGCAGUGGGGAAGAUUGCACAGUGGGCGCAAGCCUGAUGCGGCCAUGCCGCGUGUAUGAAGAAGGCCUUCGGGUUGUAAAGUACUUUCAGCGGGGAGGCGUUACCCGCAGAAGAAGCACCGGCUAACUCCGUGCCAGCAGCCGCGGUAAUAC
This 406-nucleotide ribosomal RNA is filed under the name uncultured bacterium. RNAcentral's name for it is "partial 16S ribosomal RNA". It matches the Rfam family "Bacterial small subunit ribosomal RNA", at positions 30 to 526 of the family's 1533-position model. The record is from RNAcentral.